RNAcentral lists this transfer RNA (78 nucleotides) under Bos taurus (domestic cattle). RNAcentral describes it as "tdbR00000246". It matches the Rfam family "tRNA". From Rfam's summary of the family: Transfer RNA (tRNA) molecules are approximately 80 nucleotides in length. Their secondary structure includes four short double-helical elements and three loops (D, anti-codon, and T loops). The record is from RNAcentral. Lineage: Eukaryota; Metazoa; Chordata; Mammalia; Artiodactyla; Bovidae.
GUUAAGGUGGCAGAGCCCGGUAAUUGCAUAAAACUUAAACUUUUAUAUCCAGAGAUUCAAAUCCUCUCCUUAACACCA